Molecule: ribosomal RNA, 811 nt
Filed under: uncultured bacterium
Lineage: Bacteria
Description: bacterial SSU rRNA
Rfam family: Bacterial small subunit ribosomal RNA
Source: RNAcentral
UNGGAGAGGAAAGUGGAAUUCNUAGUGUAGCGGUGAAAUGCGUAGAUAUUAGGAAGANCACCAGUGGCGAAGGCGACUUUCUGGACGAAAACUGACGCUGAGGCGCGAAAGCCAGGGGAGCGAACGGGAUUAGGUACCCCGGUAGUCCUGGCCGUAAACGAUGGGUACUAGGUGUAGGAGGUAUCGACCCCUUCUGUGCCGGAGUUAACGCAAUAAGUACCCCGCCUGGGGAGUACGACCGCAAGGUUGAAACUCAAAGGAAUUGACGGGGGCCCGCACAAGCGGUGGAGUAUGUGGUUUAAUUCGACGCAACGCGAAGAACCUUACCAGGUCUUGACAUUGAUGGACAGAACCAGAGAUGGUUCCUCUUCUUCGGAAGCCAGAAAACAGGUGGUGCACGGUUGUCGUCAGCUCGUGUCGUGAGAUGUUGGGUUAAGUCCCGCAACGAGCGCAACCCCUAUCUUAUGUUGCCAGUACUUUGGGUGGGGACUCAUGAGAGACUGCCGCAGACAAUGCGGAGGAAGGCGGGGAUGACGUCAAAUCAUCAUGCCCCUUAUGACCUGGGCUACACACGUACUACAAUGGGAGUUAAUAGACGGAAGCGAGAUCGCGAGAUGGAGCAAACCCGAGAAACACUCUCUCAGUUCGGAUCGUAGGCUGCAACUCGCCUACGUGAAGUCGGAAUCGCUAGUAAUCGCAGGUCAGCAUACUGCGGUGAAUACGUUCCCGGGCCUUGUACACACCGCCCGUCACACCACGAAAGUCGGAAGUGCCCAAAGCCGGUGGGGUAACCUUCGGGNAGCCAGCCGUC